This 910-nucleotide ribosomal RNA is filed under the name uncultured bacterium. RNAcentral describes it as "bacterial SSU rRNA". It matches the Rfam family "Bacterial small subunit ribosomal RNA", at positions 33 to 934 of the family's 1533-position model. The record is from RNAcentral.
ACGCUGGCGGCAGGCUUAACACAUGCAAGUCGAACGGUAACAGGAAUUAGCUUGCUAAUUUGCUGACGAGUGGCGGACGGGUGAGUAAUGCUUGGGAAUCUGGCUUAUGGAGGGGGAUAACUACGGGAAACUGUAGCUAAUACCGCGUAAAAUCUUCGGAUUAAAGGGUGGGACUUUCGAGCCACCUGCCAUAAGAUGAGCCCAAGUGGGAUUAGGUAGUUGGUUAGGUAAAGGCUGACCAAGCCGACGAUCUCUAGCUGGUCUGAGAGGAUGACCAGCCACACUGGAACUGAGACACGGUCCAGACUCCUACGGGAGGCAGCAGUGGGGAAUAUUGCACAAUGGGGGGAACCCUGAUGCAGCCAUGCCGCGUGAAUGAAGAAGGCCUUCGGGUUGUAAAGUUCUUUCGGUGACGAGGAAGGUUGAUAGGUUAAUAGCCUAUCAAAUUGACGUUAAUCACAGAAGAAGCACCGGCUAACUCCGUGCCAGCAGCCGCGGUAAUACGGGGGGUGCGAGCGUUAAUCGGAAUAACUGGGCGUAAAGGGCACGCAGGCGGUGACUUAAGUGAGAUGUGAAAGCCCCGAGCUUAACUUGGGAAUUGCAUUUCAUACUGGGUCGCUAGAAUACUUUAGGGAGGGGUAGAAUUCCACGUGUAGCGGUGAAAUGCGUAGAGAUGUGGAGGAAUACCGAAGGCGAAGGCAGCCCCUUGGGAAUGUACUGACGCUCAUGUGCGAAAGCGUGGGGAGCAAACAGGAUUAGAUACCCUGGUAGUCCACGCUGUAAACGAUGUCGAUUUGGGGAUUGGGCUUUGAGCUUGGUGCCCGUAGCUAACGUGAUAAAUCGACCGCCUGGGGAGUACGGCCGCAAGGUUAAAACUCAAAUGAAUUGACGGGGGCCCGCACAAGCGGUG